UACGGGGGGGGCAAGCGUUGUUCGGAAUUACUGGGCGUAAAGGGUGCGUAGGCGGCUUUCUAAGUUGGAUGUGAAAACUAUGGGCUCAACCCAUAGCCUGCAUCCAAAACUGGAGAGCUUGGGUUCUGGAGGGGAAAGCGGAAUUCCUGGUGUAGCGGUGAAAUGCGUAGAUAUCAGGAGGAACACCGAUGGCGAAGGCAGGUCUCUGGGCCACUACUGACGCUGAGAAGCGAAAGCAUGGGGAGCGAACAGG
RNAcentral lists this ribosomal RNA (253 nucleotides) under uncultured bacterium. RNAcentral's name for it is "partial 16S ribosomal RNA". It matches the Rfam family "Bacterial small subunit ribosomal RNA", at positions 524 to 776 of the family's 1533-position model. The record is from RNAcentral.